Non-coding RNA from Caretta caretta (loggerhead turtle), 1619 nucleotides. NCBI's taxonomy places the organism in Eukaryota, Metazoa, Chordata, Testudines, Cheloniidae. The record is from RefSeq and is a predicted model, not a curated record.
GACCUGACCUUGUUCGUGAAGACAGAGGCAAAAAAAGCAUUGAGUACAUUAGCUUUUUCCACAUCCUCUGUCACUAGGUUGCCUCCCUCAUUCAGUAAGGGGCCCGCACUUUCCAGUCAAGCACAGGGGAGCCUGCUGCAGGGUGUGACGAAGUGGGACUGUUCUUAAUGUUUCCUCUGAAUAGUGUGGGGGUGCCUCAGUUUCCCCUAGGCAGUUCUUAAGUAUCUAGGGGGUGGAGUAAGGGUGUCUGAUCAUUGCAGAGCCCUAGAGGGCAUGUGUGUGCAGGAGUCUGGACACAGAGAAUGGCCAACACCCUGUUUCCUGGCAACUGAUGGCCUGGGCCCUUCCCCCCCUGCAAGGUGAGAGCUGAAGGGUUGGAGAACAAAGGAAUCAGGUGACCACCUGGCCCGGGAAAGGAACAAAGCCCAGAGGAGGAGGGGCUGGAGGGGGUUUUCAGUUUGGGGCUGGCUAGGACAUGGAGUGAAGUGCAGACGUGGUUGUCUGGCUCACUGCCCCCCAAAAUGGACCCAGCUGAGGGGUCCCGUUCUCUGCACCUGCAAGCUCUGUUUUAGACCAUGUUCCUGUCGUCUAAUAAACCUUCUGUUUUACUGGCUGGCUGAGAGUCACGUCUGACUGUGAAGUUGGGGUGCAGGACCCUCUGGCUUCCCCAGGAGCCCCGCCUGAGCGGACUCGGUGGGGGGAAGCGCACGGAGGGGCAGAGGAUGCUGAAUGCUCCGAGGUCAGACCCAGGAAGGUGGAAGCUGUGUGAGCUGUGUGUCCUGAAGACAGGCUGCUCACAGAAAGGCGACUGCCCCAGAGUCCUGACUGGCUUCAUGGGGAGCAGUUCCAGAGCAUCGCCCAGGGACUCCGUGACAACUGGUGGCAGCGGUGGGAUGUACUGCACCCCGUGGAUGGCGCUUCCUGCAGUAAGUGACUGGGGAGCAGUAACACGAAGGGGGAUUGCCGAGGACCAGGCCUGCUGAAGGCUCAGAGAGGAGCGGUUUCCGGGGGCGGUUAACCCCUGGGAGUGUGUGACCAGCGAGAAGGACUGUGCAGUAAUGGGGUCCCCCUGGGGACUGCAGUGAGCAGUCUCAGGGGCGGAGGAGCCUGCAGCUUGGCCCGGGGAGAGAGAAGGACUUUUGCAGUAACAGGAUGUGACGAAGUGGGACUGUUCUUAAUGUUUCCUCUGAAUAGUGUGGGGGUGCCUCAGUUUCCCCUAGGCAGUUCUUAAGUAUCUAGGGGGUGGAGUAAGGGUGUCUGAUCAUUGCAGAGCCCUAGAGGGCAUGUGUGUGCAGGAGUCUGGACACAGAGAAUGGCCAACACCCUGUUUCCUGGCAACUGAUGGCCUGGGCCCUUCCCCCCCUGCAAGGUGAGAGCUGAAGGGUUGGAGAACAAAGGAAUCAGGUGACCACCUGGCCCGGGAAAGGAACAAAGCCCAGAGGAGGAGGGGCUGGAGGGGGUUUUCAGUUUGGGGCUGGCUAGGACAUGGAGUGAAGUGCAGACGUGGUUGUCUGGCUCACUGCCCCCCAAAAUGGACCCAGCUGAGGGGUCCCGUUCUCUGCACCUGCAAGCUCUGUUUUAGACCAUGUUCCUGUCGUCUAAUAAACCUUCUGUUUUAC